UAUGGCCACACCACAUUGAAACACCAGUUCCUGUAUGAUCACUGAAGUUAAGCAACAUCAUCUGGUCAGUACCAAGAUGCGUGACCGCUUGGGAAUACCAGGGGUUGUAAG
Non-coding RNA from Acanthosepion pharaonis, 111 nucleotides. The record is from the annotation of a GenBank genome assembly. NCBI's taxonomy places the organism in Eukaryota, Metazoa, Mollusca, Cephalopoda, Sepiida, Sepiidae.